RNAcentral lists this ribosomal RNA (348 nucleotides) under Triticum aestivum (bread wheat). RNAcentral's name for it is "partial small subunit ribosomal RNA". The record is from RNAcentral. Lineage: Eukaryota; Viridiplantae; Streptophyta; Magnoliopsida; Poales; Poaceae.
AUGCUCACCAUGCCCACGGUCGACGCCACAGAGAAGUUCAUCCAGGAGGAAGAGACCUCGGGAAGCAACAGCCCGUCGCCGACGGCCAGGGAGCGGCGGCGCCGCGGCGGCUACAGCCUACACGUGAAGCCGUGCGGCGGGCUGAAGAGGAGGAUGCCAGCUGCAGACUCCGGUGGCGACCACCGUGCCGUAGAGGCGACGCGCGAGGCGCUGGCGCUGGCUGCAGGAGAGCCUCGUCGUGGUAAAGGAGUCAGGGGACCCGGACUUCCCGGCGAUCAUGGCGGAGAUGAUCACGCCGCCGAGCACAACCACGCCAUCGUCGCCGCGUUCCGAACCACGGCGUCGUGA